RNAcentral lists this ribosomal RNA (460 nucleotides) under uncultured bacterium. RNAcentral's name for it is "partial 16S ribosomal RNA". It matches the Rfam family "Bacterial small subunit ribosomal RNA", at positions 338 to 795 of the family's 1533-position model. The record is from RNAcentral.
CCUACGGGUGGCAGCAGUGAGGAAUAUUGGUCAAUGGGCGCGAGCCUGAACCAGCCAAGUAGCGUGAAGGAUGACUGCCCUACGGGUUUUAAACUUCUUUUAUAAAGGAAUAAAGUGCCCCACGUGUGGCUUUUUGUAUGUACUUUAUGAAUAAGCAUCGGCUAAUUCCGUGCCAGCAGCCGCGGUAAUACGGAGGAUUCGAGCGUUAUCCGGGUUUAUUGGGUUUAAAGGGAGCGUAGGCGGGUUGUUAAGUCAGGUGGGAAAGUUUGCGGCUCAACCGUAAACGUGCAGUUGAUACUGGCAGACUUGAGUAUAGGUAAGGUAGGUGGAAUUCGUGGUGUAGCGGUGAAAUGCUUAGAUAUCACGAAGAACUCCGAUCGCGAAGGCAUUGUACUAGAGCAAGACUGACGCUGAGGCUCGAAAGUGUGGGUAUCAAACAGGAUUAGAUACCCCUGUAGUC